Molecule: ribosomal RNA, 447 nt
Filed under: uncultured bacterium
Lineage: Bacteria
Description: SSU rRNA
Rfam family: Bacterial small subunit ribosomal RNA
Source: RNAcentral
AGGAUGAACGCUGGCGGCGUGCCUAAUACAUGCAAGUCGAACGAGGUCUUCGGACCGAGUGGCGAACGGGUGAGUAACACGUUGGUACCUACCCCGAAGUGGGGAAUAACUGCCCGAAAGGGUGGCUAAUACCGCAUAAUACCGCAAGGUUAAAGCAGUAAUGCGCUUCGGGAGGGGCCUGCGUCCCAUUAGCUAGUUGGUAGGGUAAUGGCCUACCAAGGCGACGAUGGGUAGCUGGAUCGAGAGGUUGACCAGCCACACUGGGACUGAGAUACGGCCCAGACUCCUACGGGAGGCAGCAGUAAGGAAUCUUCCACAAUGGACGAAAGUCUGAUGGAGCAACGCCGCGUGCAGGAUGACGGCCUUCGGGUUGUAAACUGCUUUAUAUGGGAAGAUUAUGACGGUACCAUAUGAAUAAGGACCGGCUAACUACGUGCCAGCAGCCGC